AGAAAAAUCCUGUUACAAAGCCAAAUAUGGAUGCCAGUCUGAAUCCAAAACGUCAAUAUGAUCACACGGCCAGUUCGGGAUUAGAGGAUGCAGAAACAUGGAAAGAUGUAGAAAUCGAUAAAUACUCUUUGUCAAGUCCUUACCAGAGCUAUCCUGCUGAUAAGGCAAAGGUGGACGACAACCAGGAAACCAGACGUCAAUAUGAUCACAAGG
Pecten maximus is the source of this 213-nucleotide long non-coding RNA. RefSeq lists it as uncharacterized. The transcript has 3 exons. NCBI's taxonomy places the organism in Eukaryota, Metazoa, Mollusca, Bivalvia, Pectinida, Pectinidae. The record is from RefSeq and is a predicted model, not a curated record.